AGCAGCCGCGGUAAUUCCAGCUCCAAUAGCGUAUAUUAAAGUUGUUGCAGUUAAAAAGCUCGUAGUUGAAUUUCGGGAUUAGUACGUUGGUCGUGCCUUNGGUACGUACUGGUGUUACUGNUUCCUACCUUCUGACGAACCAUCAUGUCAUUAAUUUGGUGUGGCGGGGAAUCAGGACUGUUACUUUGAAAAAAUUAGAGUGUUUAAAGCAGGCUCGCGCUUGAAUACAUUAGCAUGGAAUAAUGAAAUAGGACGUUGACCCUAUUUUGUUGGUUUCUAGGAUUGACGUAAUGAUUAAUAGGGAUAGUUGGGGGCAUUAGUAUUCAAUUGUCAGAGGUGAAAUUCUUGGAUUUAUUGAAGACUAACUACUGCGAAAGCAUUUGCCAAGGAUGUUUUCAUUAAUCAAGAACGAAAGUUAGGGGAUCGAAGACGAUCAGAUACCGUCGUAGUCUUAACCAUAAACUAUGCCGACUAGGGAUCGGAUGAUG
RNAcentral lists this ribosomal RNA (488 nucleotides) under uncultured Glomus. RNAcentral's name for it is "SSU rRNA". It matches the Rfam family "Eukaryotic small subunit ribosomal RNA", at positions 569 to 1062 of the family's 1831-position model. Lineage: Eukaryota; Fungi; Glomeromycota; Glomeromycetes; Glomerales; Glomeraceae. The record is from RNAcentral.